CCCGAUGAACCUGAAUAUCCAUUAUGGAAAAUUCAUCAUUAGAAUUGUAAUAUUUUAAAAAUAUUAUAAUGAUAGUGUGCAUUUUUUCCAUAUAAGGACAUUGUAAUCUAUUAGCAUAUAAUUUAUCAUAAAAUUAUGCCAUUAGUUUAUUUCAAUUAAAGUGCUUGCAUUUUAACACAGAAUAAAAGGUAUAAAUUUGAUAAAGUGCUGAUAGAUUUAUAUGAUUACAGUGCGUUAAUUUUUCGGAAUUAUAUAAUGGCAUGAUUAUCAUUGAUUUUUGUGUUUAUUAUAUGCACUUGUAUGAUUAACAAUGCGAAAGAUUCAGGAUACUUCGGG
Molecule: ribosomal RNA, 336 nt
Filed under: Drosophila bromeliae
Lineage: Eukaryota; Metazoa; Arthropoda; Insecta; Diptera; Drosophilidae
Description: eukaryotic LSU rRNA
Source: RNAcentral